AUACAGAGGGUGCAAGCGUUAUUCGGAAUUACUGGGCGUAAAGCGCGCGUAGGCGGAUGAUUACGUCAGUUGUGAAAGCCCUGGGCUCAACCUAGGAACUGCAUCUGAUACUGGUCGGCUAGAGUUUAAGAGAGGGAAGUGGAAUUCCAGGUGUAGCAGUGAAAUGCGUAGAUAUCUGGAGGAACAUCAGUGGCGAAGGCGACUUCCUGGCUUAAAACUGACGCUGAGGUGCGAAAGCGUGGGUAGCGAACGGGAUUAGAAACCCCAGUAGUCC
This 274-nucleotide ribosomal RNA is filed under the name uncultured bacterium. RNAcentral's name for it is "partial 16S ribosomal RNA". It matches the Rfam family "Bacterial small subunit ribosomal RNA", at positions 523 to 796 of the family's 1533-position model. The record is from RNAcentral.